Molecule: long non-coding RNA, 289 nt
Filed under: Homo sapiens (human)
Lineage: Eukaryota; Metazoa; Chordata; Mammalia; Primates; Hominidae
Description: HSALNT0245603
Source: RNAcentral
CUGCUCAGACAUCGCCACAGCUGGGCUCUCAGGGAGCAUGGCCAGCCACCCCAGAAAGCCAUUCAGACCUGCAGCCAGGGCUGGAACACAGCCACCUGGGCCUGGGAUGUGCUGGGACCCAGAGGGGCACAAGCAAGGGGGUCCCCAGAGGAGGGAGCUGACACUAUAGGGGCUGGGCCUGGACGCUGGGAUCUGCCAGACCCAUCUCAGUGCCACGACCUCUGAACCCAAGUGAGUCACUCCCAGCAGGGGCGUGGCCACUCCCACACUAGGAGAGAGCGCCUGGGAG